RNAcentral lists this ribosomal RNA (2773 nucleotides) under Escherichia coli. RNAcentral's name for it is "bacterial LSU rRNA". It matches the Rfam family "Bacterial large subunit ribosomal RNA". The record is from RNAcentral. Lineage: Bacteria; Pseudomonadati; Pseudomonadota; Gammaproteobacteria; Enterobacterales; Enterobacteriaceae.
AGCGUACACGGUGGAUGCCCUGGCAGUCAGAGGCGAUGAAGGACGUGCUAAUCUGCGAUAAGCGUCGGUAAGGUGAUAUGAACCGUUAUAACCGGCGAUUUCCGAAUGGGGAAACCCAGUGUGAUUCGUCACACUAUCAUUAACUGAAUCCAUAGGUUAAUGAGGCGAACCGGGGGAACUGAAACAUCUAAGUACCCCGAGGAAAAGAAAUCAACCGAGAUUCCCCCAGUAGCGGCGAGCGAACGGGGAGGAGCCCAGAGCCUGAAUCAGUGUGUGUGUUAGUGGAAGCGUCUGGAAAGGCGCGCGAUACAGGGUGACAGCCCCGUACACAAAAAUGCACAUGCUGUGAGCUCGAUGAGUAGGGCGGGACACGUGGUAUCCUGUCUGAAUAUGGGGGGACCAUCCUCCAAGGCUAAAUACUCCUGACUGACCGAUAGUGAACCAGUACCGUGAGGGAAAGGCGAAAAGAACCCCGGCGAGGGGAGUGAAAAAGAACCUGAAACCGUGUACGUACAAGCAGUGGGAGCACGCUUAGGCGUGUGACUGCGUACCUUUUGUAUAAUGGGUCAGCGACUUAUAUUCUGUAGCAAGGUUAACCGAAUAGGGGAGCCGAAGGGAAACCGAGUCUUAACUGGGCGUUAAGUUGCAGGGUAUAGACCCGAAACCCGGUGAUCUAGCCAUGGGCAGGUUGAAGGUUGGGUAACACUAACUGGAGGACCGAACCGACUAAUGUUGAAAAAUUAGCGGAUGACUUGUGGCUGGGGGUGAAAGGCCAAUCAAACCGGGAGAUAGCUGGUUCUCCCCGAAAGCUAUUUAGGUAGCGCCUCGUGAAUUCAUCUCCGGGGGUAGAGCACUGUUUCGGCAAGGGGGUCAUCCCGACUUACCAACCCGAUGCAAACUGCGAAUACCGGAGAAUGUUAUCACGGGAGACACACGGCGGGUGCUAACGUCCGUCGUGAAGAGGGAAACAACCCAGACCGCCAGCUAAGGUCCCAAAGUCAUGGUUAAGUGGGAAACGAUGUGGGAAGGCCCAGACAGCCAGGAUGUUGGCUUAGAAGCAGCCAUCAUUUAAAGAAAGCGUAAUAGCUCACUGGUCGAGUCGGCCUGCGCGGAAGAUGUAACGGGGCUAAACCAUGCACCGAAGCUGCGGCAGCGACGCUUAUGCGUUGUUGGGUAGGGGAGCGUUCUGUAAGCCUGUGAAGGUGUACUGUGAGGUAUGCUGGAGGUAUCAGAAGUGCGAAUGCUGACAUAAGUAACGAUAAAGCGGGUGAAAAGCCCGCUCGCCGGAAGACCAAGGGUUCCUGUCCAACGUUAAUCGGGGCAGGGUGAGUCGACCCCUAAGGCGAGGCCGAAAGGCGUAGUCGAUGGGAAACAGGUUAAUAUUCCUGUACUUGGUGUUACUGCGAAGGGGGGACGGAGAAGGCUAUGUUGGCCGGGCGACGGUUGUCCCGGUUUAAGCGUGUAGGCUGGUUUUCCAGGCAAAUCCGGAAAAUCAAGGCUGAGGCGUGAUGACGAGGCACUACGGUGCUGAAGCAACAAAUGCCCUGCUUCCAGGAAAAGCCUCUAAGCAUCAGGUAACAUCAAAUCGUACCCCAAACCGACACAGGUGGUCAGGUAGAGAAUACCAAGGCGCUUGAGAGAACUCGGGUGAAGGAACUAGGCAAAAUGGUGCCGUAACUUCGGGAGAAGGCACGCUGAUAUGUAGGUGAAGUCCCUCGCGGAUGGAGCUGAAAUCAGUCGAAGAUACCAGCUGGCUGCAACUGUUUAUUAAAAACACAGCACUGUGCAAACACGAAAGUGGACGUAUACGGUGUGACGCCUGCCCGGUGCCGGAAGGUUAAUUGAUGGGGUUAGCGCAAGCGAAGCUCUUGAUCGAAGCCCCGGUAAACGGCGGCCGUAACUAUAACGGUCCUAAGGUAGCGAAAUUCCUUGUCGGGUAAGUUCCGACCUGCACGAAUGGCGUAAUGAUGGCCAGGCUGUCUCCACCCGAGACUCAGUGAAAUUGAACUCGCUGUGAAGAUGCAGUGUACCCGCGGCAAGACGGAAAGACCCCGUGAACCUUUACUAUAGCUUGACACUGAACAUUGAGCCUUGAUGUGUAGGAUAGGUGGGAGGCUUUGAAGUGUGGACGCCAGUCUGCAUGGAGCCGACCUUGAAAUACCACCCUUUAAUGUUUGAUGUUCUAACGUGGACCCGUAAUCCGGGUUGCGGACAGUGUCUGGUGGGUAGUUUGACUGGGGCGGUCUCCUCCUAAAGAGUAACGGAGGAGCACGAAGGUUGGCUAAUCCUGGUCGGACAUCAGGAGGUUAGUGCAAUGGCAUAAGCCAGCUUGACUGCGAGCGUGACGGCGCGAGCAGGUGCGAAAGCAGGUCAUAGUGAUCCGGUGGUUCUGAAUGGAAGGGCCAUCGCUCAACGGAUAAAAGGUACUCCGGGGAUAACAGGCUGAUACCGCCCAAGAGUUCAUAUCGACGGCGGUGUUUGGCACCUCGAUGUCGGCUCAUCACAUCCUGGGGCUGAAGUAGGUCCCAAGGGUAUGGCUGUUCGCCAUUUAAAGUGGUACGCGAGCUGGGUUUAGAACGUCGUGAGACAGUUCGGUCCCUAUCUGCCGUGGGCGCUGGAGAACUGAGGGGGGCUGCUCCUAGUACGAGAGGACCGGAGUGGACGCAUCACUGGUGUUCGGGUUGUCAUGCCAAUGGCACUGCCCGGUAGCUAAAUGCGGAAGAGAUAAGUGCUGAAAGCAUCUAAGCACGAAACUUGCCCCGAGAUGAGUUCU